UGGGGAAUAUUGCACAAUGGGGGAAACCCUGAUGCAGCGACGCCGCGUGAGCGAUGAAGGCUUUCGAGUCGUAAAGCUCUGUCCUAUGGGAAGAUAAUGACGGUACCAUAGAAGAAAGCCCCGGCUAAUUACGUGCCAGCAGCCGCGGUAAUACGUAAGGGGCGAGCGUUGUCCGGAAUUAUUGGGCGUAAAGAGUGCGUAGGCGGCAAAUUAAGUCAGAUGUGAAAACUAAGGUCUCAACCCAUAGAUUGCAUCUGAAACUGAUAUGCUUGAGUCAAGGAGAGGAAAGUGGAAUUCCUAGUGUAGCGGUGGAAUGCGUAGAUAUUAGGAGGAAUACCGGUGGCGAAGGCGACUUUCUGGACUUGAACUGACGCUGAGGCACGAAAGCGUGGGGAGCAAACAGG
Molecule: ribosomal RNA, 404 nt
Filed under: Verrucomicrobiota bacterium
Lineage: Bacteria; Pseudomonadati; Verrucomicrobiota
Description: Verrucomicrobia bacterium partial 16S ribosomal RNA
Rfam family: Bacterial small subunit ribosomal RNA
Source: RNAcentral